This 2028-nucleotide long non-coding RNA is filed under the name Homo sapiens (human). RNAcentral describes it as "HSALNT0299734". Lineage: Eukaryota; Metazoa; Chordata; Mammalia; Primates; Hominidae. The record is from RNAcentral.
GCAUGGGUCACAAAGCCGAGCCCCUGGCCACUGAGGCCUCCCCGUUCGCCUCCCAGAGGCCGCCACUUUCUUCAGGGCUAUCAGAUGAAGGCAGCAACGAAAACACCACCACAAGACCAACUUCAGGCUGGAGCUGAUGAUGCCACACAGAAAAUAGACUCUACUUAGAAAUGAAACUCAACUAAAGGUAAAAGUUGUCAGGAACAUCUCCAAGAAAGCCAGAGUCAGCCUCUAAACUUUGCAUCAAGAACGCAAUGGCUUCCCUGAGGGCCCAGGGACGCGUGGCAGCUGUGAGGCAGCCCCUUCUCUGCUGUCGAGGAACUGGACACUUCUCCUGUCCCUUCCCACAAGGGGCUUCCUGGAGCUCCUGCAACCCCAGGCAUUAGUUCCGGUGCAGUUCUAGGAUCAGAUCAAUUCACUCGACAACAAGAGAAACAAAUGGAGAUUCCUACACAAAGACUUUCAAGCACAAAGAAAUCCUGCUGCCUGUAAAGCGGAGCUGCCUCAGCCCUUGAUGAACGACAGAAAAUCUCACAUUCCAGGAAUUCAGAUGAAGUGAAGUGCUCUCAUGGGGACCAGGCAUGGUUAUGCCAGUCCACUGCCCUGCAAGCCUCAAGGGAAGCCAACUGCCCUUCAGCAAGUCACACCUGCCUUGGUGGAGGCCUUGAUUGGAAGUGCCACACGCUACAUGUCCAGUCCUGAGCGGGAGAAUCGGUGUAGGGACGUUCUGGGGAUGCCAGCUGUGGCCAGAUCAGGUCCAACUACAGAAGAAUAAUGAAGACUCCACCUGAGGGCUGGAAAAACAAAACCUCAAGUGUGAGGCAGCCAACCUGUUACCUCGAGGGACUGUUCCGCAGCACAGCGGGGCCAUGGGAACAGCAGCAGACACCCCGACCUCCUCGCUACCUGUAUCAACUAUGGCCUGAGUAUGAUAGACUUAUCCAUGGUUUAAACAGAAUAUAUUGUUUUCAACUUUGAAAAUAAGAAUAUGGAAAUCCAGAUGCAGAAAUGUGAGAAGAAAAGAGAGUAAACAGAGUGGAAGGUCAGGUGACCUUGCCUGUCAUGAAUAUGAAGGUCAAGGUGUGUGAAUUGUGAAAUUUCCAAGAGAACCUCACUGAAGCAAAGAAUGAAGAAAGAAUUGCAUUUGGCCCUGGGAGGGUGCAGGGGUGAAUGGUGCAGGAGCUAAAUCUUUAUCAUACCCAGAAAUCAACAGCCACUAUUUGAAAUCAUCUAAAUUCGUGCUGCUAACCUUCAGUGUACACACGAAUCACCUGGGGAUCUUACUAAAAGCUAGUUUCUGAUUCACUAAAUCUGUGUGUGGUGGAAGUUGAGGGCAGAGAAGCUCCCGAGGGUGUCAAGCUGACUCUGAACCCGACUUUGAGGGUUAAGGUCCCAAAUGGCAUCGCCAGCACCAGGGACAGACACUAAAAUUGUAGAAAUCGUCUCAAGAAAUGAACAGCCUCUAAGUCAGAUGUUGAAUGUGAAAGAAAUCAGGGUGUGUACGUGUGUGUGCAUUUGUGUGUGCACGUGUGUGCCUGUGUUUGUCUCUGUGCAUGUAUGUUUCUAUGUGUGCACAUGUGUGUAUGUGUCUGUACAUGUGUGUUUCUGUGUGUGUGCCUGUGUGUGUAUUGGCUUAGAUCUGUUCGAGACUUUUUAUUUGAUGAGAUCGAUAUAUGCCACCACUUUUGGAAAGGACAACGUAUAUACAAAGACAAUGAUUACUUAUGUAAUGUGAACGGAGUCUCUCUUCGACCCUCAAAUGUUUUGUAGAAAGUAAUGAUGAUGGUGAGGAUUAUAACAAUGCGUGUUUCCUGAAUAACAAAAAGGAGUUACAGUACACUUUUACCUAUUUUUCCAAAGCGCUAGGUCAAGUUUAGCUAAAGUCUGCUUGGAAUUAAUGAGGCUUGGAAAUGUAAAAUCUCAGAGCAGUAAACAUCUCUUUGUCCUAAUGUUCUUAUGUAGCCAUUAAAACUUAAAUAUUAAUACUAAAAUAACUACUGUAAAAUAAAGUAAAAAUGUACGAGAAUA